This is a long non-coding RNA of Oreochromis aureus, 649 nucleotides long. RefSeq lists it as uncharacterized. The record is from RefSeq and is a predicted model, not a curated record. The transcript has 3 exons. NCBI's taxonomy places the organism in Eukaryota, Metazoa, Chordata, Actinopteri, Cichliformes, Cichlidae.
UGUGUGCAGGUGAUAAUAUUUUUAGGAAGCAGAAUUUGAAUGCAGACCAUCUCAAAUGUUGAAGCCUACAAAUAUAUCAUCCAAGCUUUCAUUUAUGAUUGUUCAUGCUUUAAAAUUGUGAUGUCAGAAUUUAAUAAAGUGUGCAGCAUUAGCUGUAGCAAAUCAUUGCUUAUGAAAUCUACUGUGUUAUCUAACAGCACCAAACUAAUAGAGCUAUCACAUAACUGAGAAACUUGUGUGGCUUAUUACAAAUGGAUGAAACCACAUAUUACCUUAAUGAAGACAGUAAUCUUUAAUAAGGUGUAGAAAAAAAAGAGGUGAGUUGUUUGUUGCUGUGGUAAACAAAGAAGUGUACUGGGUCUUUUGGACUACACAGAGUGAUGCAGUAUUGACUGUGAUGUUGAUCUGAGUUGUCUCAUUCUGUAUUUUUGUGCUUUGUCUUUUGUUACACAGAGUGAAAGAGAUCUUUGGUUUUGCCUUUGCUGACUGCUGAUCUGAUCGUCUCAAGUCUGGUGACCUGCUGCAGAAGCUCUCUCCCUCUAUCAUUAACAAGCCAUUCAGUCUGUCCUAUCACUCUACCCACUCUAUCUAUUUUGACAAGACGUUCUAUCUUGCUUCACUCUAUCCCACAAGCUCUAUCUAAGACCUG